Long non-coding RNA from Drosophila subobscura, 831 nucleotides. RefSeq lists it as uncharacterized. The transcript is spliced from 2 exons. Lineage: Eukaryota; Metazoa; Arthropoda; Insecta; Diptera; Drosophilidae. The record is from RefSeq and is a predicted model, not a curated record.
GAAGAUGAUUAUUGCUUCAAGUGGUCAAUUUUAGCAUCAUUUGCAUAUAGGCGGCACUUGAGCACUACAUUCUCAACUGCAAACCAAAAAAAAAAAGCGCGAGAUAAGUUAACAAACCCUUCAUAUUAUCGAAUGAUAGACAUCAGACAAGACAUAAUUUGCUAUGACGGAGUGAGACUGGAUUUUUCUGGGAUUGAGUUUCCAAUCACAAACAAAGGAAUAAAGAGAUUUGAAUUAUCCAAUCCUAAUAUUAGCAUAAAUGUGUAUGAAAUCGAUGACAAUGGAAAGAACGUAGUAGGACCAACAGUGAGGACUAAAGGAAUUCGAGGACAUCACAUCAACCUAUUAGGAAUUAAUAAUGACUCUUUGCAAAUGAUGCAUUAUGCCUAUAUAACGUGCAUGAAAAAAUUAUGCUAUUCUCAACAUAAUAAAUCCCAUUGCUCUGCAUAUUUUUGUGAAAAUUGUUUACAAUUUUAUACUACCACAAAUACCACCCAUGACAAUAAAGAGUGCGGAAAAGUUGCUGCACAAUAUCCUACUCCAAAUACCAAAACGGUUUUUAAAAGUUUCAUCAAAAAACUAUCUCCCCCUGUGGUCAUUUAUGCUGAUAUCGAAGCUGUAUUGGAAAGUUUUCAUAGGAAUCUGAAUGAUCCCUUAAAAUCAUCUACCACUAUGGCUCAGAAGCAUACGGCAUGUGCAGUGUCAUUUUAUGUUGUACAUAACUAUAAUCAUCAUUUAAAUGAGAUGUGGACAUAUGAAGGACCAGAUUGUAUCGAUCAAUUCUGCCAAGUGCUUCGAUCGAAAACCAUGGGACUUUAUGAGAAGUACUGG